Nymphaea colorata (pocket water lily) is the source of this 2943-nucleotide long non-coding RNA. RefSeq lists it as uncharacterized. NCBI's taxonomy places the organism in Eukaryota, Viridiplantae, Streptophyta, Magnoliopsida, Nymphaeales, Nymphaeaceae. The transcript has 3 exons. The record is from RefSeq and is a predicted model, not a curated record.
ACAUGAGGCGCCAAGGAAUGCUUCUGCUUGGAUCCAGGGAAGCUCCUUAAGAUUUACUUUAAUACAGAAGGGAAGAGAGCUUAUCAGCUUACCUCUGAUCUUGAUUAAUCUCUUUUGAUUUACUUUGAAGGUAUGUGGUAGAGGGAAGUGAGCCGUGCCGCGCGUUAGGCAGGUGAUCGGAGGUUCGAACUCUAUGAAUGCCUGCUUCAUGAUUAUAGUCUCUCAAAUCGAACUUCUUGUCUCCAUAUGUAAAAUAAAAAUGAUGGGGCAAGUGUCAUUGAUACUUUUAUGUGAAUUGGCAUCCAUAUUUUCUUUGCUUCCUACCCAAAUCUCAAAACAACUUCGGACUCCUCUCUGGACAGGGGAAAAAGGAGAAGAUUUUGUCGUCUUCGAGGUAUCUCCUCUCCAUUUGGUGUUUUCCUUCACCAGGUUUUUGUUUGGAGUUUUGGUUGCCCAGAGAGGCGUAACUUAGCUGGUAGCUGGUCGAACUGAUAAGUUUGUAAAAGUUCAGCCAUCAGUUCUAUUUCGGGGAAAAAGGAGAAGAUUUUGUCGUUUUCGAGGUAUCCCCUCUCCAGUUGGUGUUUUCCUUCACGAGGUUUGGUUUCAUUUUUCAGUUGAUUUUCUGUAAUUCGCCGGCUUUCAUAUUAAUUUCGUUCCUCGGAGGCAAAGGCAGAGAAAGAAGGUGAAAGAUACCUCCGUUAUUUUGCAGCAUUUAAUUCAAUUUUGAUUGAAGACGCGGCUUCGAUCGCGUCAGAAUCAUAUGUUAUAACUACUGAAGAACUUUUGUUUCUGUGAAGUUUUGUAUUUUGAGAAGAGAUGUUUCAUCUCUCUGUAUGUCAGUCCAGCCUUAACGCGGUUUACAGGUUCUCUUUUUCCCCUUGCAUUUACAUAAAGAUUGAAAAGUAGAUAGAAAAGAAAAAAGGGUCAACAAGCAUGUACAAAAUGGAAGGUAUUGAACUCAUUGAAUACAUAAUCUGAUUGGAUGUACAUGUUGAACUAAGGAUUUGGUCAUAUGAACGCACCACUAAAUGUUAAAGUGCAAUUCUUUGACAAGUAUUUGGGUCUCAUCUUGCUCUUUUGAGUCCCAAGAGAUGGAGUGCAUAUUUAUCAGUGUCCAACCUGAAAUUGAAAAGGUUAAGGCCUUGAUUCUUUCAUUGGUAUAAUAAAAGUAUUAUCAAGAAACCUAAGGUUUCCUCUUUCACUACUGAGAUUUACAGUUGCAGUAUCAGUUGGAUUCACUGAUUGUCAUAUACAGAGUCAGACUGCAGAUAACAUACGAAAGAGAUGCCAACAAUGAGUUUCUGACUGUUCACAAGUUGCUCUUACAAGAUGAGCGGAGAGGCACCUUUUCAUGGCAGAGGAAAUCUCAAUCAAAAAUUGGAAGAAGAAAGCACAGAUCUUUUCAAGGUUGCUGCUCUUUUCCAACGACAACGAUUAAAACCCACGAUUAUGAUGCAAUUAAUUUAGACCACUGAUUGAUUAAUUUGCUUCUUUAUAUCCAAAGCAGAAUAGGUACAAACUAAAACUGAAGCUACCAACUAAAUCAAACAUAUAGAUCUAAGAGACUCAUAUUAAUAGUUCUUCACACCAAGAGCAAUUGCUUUUAGCAGGUUGCCUCCCAUUGCCCUAAUAGAUAAAUGAGGCAAGGCAACAAAUGGUGAUAUGUAAUCACCAACAAGGAAAAAAGGCAGUUUGGCAUUUACAUAACAGCUGCUAACAGAGUUAGAACUGAUCCAAAUUUAUUGAACAAGCGAAAAUCACAGCAUGCAUAACAGCCAAUCACUGUUGUAGUUGGCUAACAUGGAAGGAGAGCUUAUGGGAUCCAAGAUCAAGGUGGUGGCGGUGGCCCCCUAGGUGGCGGCAGAAAGGGCUGGGGAAGGAGCGACCCCGGCAGAGGAAUAUGAUCAGCAGGAGGAUCCGCCUGGCCUGGUGGUGCAGUCACGGGGUCCGGGUGCAAAGGCGGUGGCGGAGCUCCAAAAGGACCCGGUGGCCCUAGGAAUCCUGGGGGAGGCGGCGGUGGAGGAUCCUGUCCAUGGUGGUGCAUCUUACUCUGAGCUGCAAGGAACUACUUCCCUAGUGCUUGGCACUGUAAUUCCUUCACCACUUAAAUAGAGAAUUGGCCCCCAUGAAAGCUCUACCCUGCUUCCCUCACUGCUCUCCUUGGUUUUACAUGCUUCUUGUCCAUAUUGCCAAAUGACAAAGGCAUGGCCUGACAUAGCCAUGCUGCAUCAUUGCAUGGUCCAAAGACAAGAGGCGGCAACUAUCCUGCAACCAGUCAAAAGAGGACCAGUAGUUGUCUUUGAAAUAGUACUGUUCUGGGGCGUACCCUUGCUCCAUUAUUUUUUAUCAUUUACUAUCAUGUAAAAAUCUUCAUGCCAGGACAAGAAGAUGAUCAUCUUGCAUCGCAGAAACAGAUGAACUCUUAUUGGGAUCAUAUGGGUCAUGUGACAAGGACCAAGUUGGUGAACUCCAUGGAAAGCCAUGAUCUUAGAGAAAGUAACAUGACGACACCUUCUAGGGUUUCCACCUAACUCCAUUCACAGAAUAAGCUAAGUUUUGUGAUUUUGAUUAUCCAGGAGCUUGAGUCUUCAAUGUGAUUACGGUUUGUGGACAAGCCAUGAAUGUUUCUUGAGAUGCAGUGUGCAGGUCAACAUCAUCAUUCAAGCUAAGGAUACAUCCUGUUUAUGAACUAUGAGUCUUAUACUUCUCUCUCUCUCUUUCUCCCUCUCUCUUCUUUUUCUGGGUUUCUACACCCUAAAAAGAACUUCAUUACCAGCUCUAGAUUGUUAGGUUUCUUGCGGUUUCUCUACCCAAAACAGGUACUUUCAGCUUUGUCUUUGCAGCAACAGGCAUAUACCUGUGGAGUUUAAUUUUAUGGUGUCUUGUUAAUUUCGGGGAAUUGACAUGUUGCCCUUGCUGAAGAGGUGAAAUUCUUUCUUAAUG